AUCCAUCUGAUGAAUCCGAAACAGGACGAAACUCGCUUUGUCUUGGAU
Schistosoma mansoni is the source of this 48-nucleotide non-coding RNA. The record is from Rfam. NCBI's taxonomy places the organism in Eukaryota, Metazoa, Platyhelminthes, Trematoda, Strigeidida, Schistosomatidae.